GGGGGGGCAAGCGUUGUUCGGAAUUACUGGGCGUAAAGGGCUCGUAGGCGGCCAACUAAGUCGGGCGUGAAAUCCCUCGGCUUAACCGGGGAACUGCGUCCGAUACUGGAUGGCUUGAGUUUGGGAGAGGGAUGCGGAAUUCCAGGUGUAGCGGUGAAAUGCGUAGAUAUCUGGAGGAACACCGGUGGCGAAGGCGGCAUCCUGGACCAACACUGACGCUGAGGAGCGAAAGCCAGGGGAGCAAACGGGAUUAGAUACCCCGGUAGUCCUGGCCCUAAACGGUGAAUGCUUGGUGUGACGGGUAUCGAUCCCUGUCGUGCCGAAGCUAACGCAAUAAGCAUUCCGCCUGGGGAGUACGGUCGCAAGGCUG
This 370-nucleotide ribosomal RNA is filed under the name uncultured organism. Its description in RNAcentral is "bacterial SSU rRNA". It matches the Rfam family "Bacterial small subunit ribosomal RNA", at positions 528 to 896 of the family's 1533-position model. The record is from RNAcentral.